Molecule: long non-coding RNA, 200 nt
Organism: Phacochoerus africanus (Common warthog)
Lineage: Eukaryota; Metazoa; Chordata; Mammalia; Artiodactyla; Suidae
Exons: 3
Source: RefSeq, a predicted model, not a curated record
AACCCAUGCCUCCACAAGUCUGUUCUCUAUGGAAUGUGCAGAUGCGGUGACUUUUGUGUUUCUGGAACCUGAGACAGUGGUGGUAGCAGCUGGCACACACUCCUGGAACCCACAGCACCAGCAGCAGUUAGUGACUGUUACCAGGGUUGUGUCUUCCGCUUCUCCUUGAAAAAGACCAUGAUUUGGGAGUUCCCACUGUG